This 3057-nucleotide long non-coding RNA is filed under the name Equus caballus (horse). Its description in RNAcentral is "lncRNA (ENSECAG00000056112.1)". Lineage: Eukaryota; Metazoa; Chordata; Mammalia; Perissodactyla; Equidae. The record is from RNAcentral.
CUUAAAUUUAGCCCUACCCUCAACCCACUGCAGCUCUUACUACCCAUGGGUCCUGUCCCCAUGCUAUUCUCUGAAUAAAGGAGCACUACUGCCAGAGCUUGAGAGUCCAAGAAAUCUUUCUUUCGACUCCUCCUCGGCUUGCCGAGCCUGCAUCACCUGGAACCUCAGAAUGUGAUCUUACGUCAGAGUGUGAAAUAGGGUCUUUGCAGAUGUAAUUAGUUAAGACAAGAUCUUACUGGAUUAGAAUGGGCCCUAAAUCCAAGGACGGGUGUCUUUAUAAGAGAAAGGAGAGGGAGAUUCAGACACAGACCCAGGCAAGAAACCACGUGACAGUGGAGCAGAGAUUGGAGUGACGUAUCUACAAGCCAAGGAGCAAGGACUGCGGGCUGCCACGAGAAACGAGAGGAGCGUGGGACAGUCUCCCUCAGAGGCUCCAGAGGGGGCCAAACCUGCUGACAACUCGAGUUCAGACCUCGGGCCUCCCGAACUUCCAGAGAAUGCAUUUCUGUUAAGACACCUGGUUUAUGGUGAUUUGUUACUGCAGACACAGGAAACUCUGACCCAGUCUGAAAGAGGUGAGCACAUGCCAGGACACACCCAGUAGACAUUGGGAGCAGAGGCUGAGACACCUCCAUCAUUUACUAGCUUUGUGUCCUUGGGCAAGGACUCAACCUCUGAGGGUCAGUCCAUCCACGUCAGAAUACUAGCUUCUGAUGCUUUGUGCUCAGUGACCUGGACCCAGCGGUGGAAGGACCCGGCACGCAGAGAGGGUGCUCGGCACAUACUGUGUUAGUCACGUCCCUCCCCCCGCCCCGAACUCUCCCCAUUCAGCACCGUGGACUCAGUCCCUCCUUCUCUGCAGUCAGAAUGAACAGGGGAAGGAGCCCAGGUCUGGGGGUGAGAAAGAGCUCAGCCACUUACCAGCUCUGUGGCCCGGGGCUGGAUACGCUGCACCACUGGGCCUCAAGAUUUCAUCAGGAAAAUGAAACUAAGAAAACCUCCCUCAGGUGGUUUGUUAUGGACUAAACGUGUGUGCCCCCCAAAAUUCAUAUGCUGAAGCCCUCCCCGCCAAUGUGAUGGCAUUUGGAGGUAGACUCUUUGGGAGGUAAUGAGGUUUAGAUGAGGUCAUGAGGUCAGGGACCCCAUAAUGGGAUGAGUGUCCUUUUAAGCAGAGGAAGAGAGAGCAGAGCUCGCUCUCCCGGCCGUGUAAGCAGGUGGCCCUCUGCAAGCCAGGCCUCGCCAGGAGCCAGAUCUGCGGGCACCUUGGUCUUGGACUUUCCAGCCUCCGCAAGUGUGAGAAAUAAUGUCUGCUGUUCACGCCAUGCCCUCUAAGGUGUUUUGUUCUGGCAGCCUGAGCGAAGAUGGUUAGUCAUCUGCUCACUCACCAAAUACUGACUGAGCAAGUACUGGGCAUCAGGUGCUCUUCUGGUGCUCGGGAGAGAGCUGGAACAAAACAGACUCCCUGCCGACAGGAGCCACCACCACAGGAUGGGGAAAGAGAAACAACAGACAGAGGUACGCCGGCGUGUCCAUUCCCAGCGGAUGAGGACAGAAGAAGUUGUUGUGGGUUAAAUGAACUCUGCGUAAAGGGUUUGACCCACGGCAAGCAUUCACGCAAUGUUAGCUUUUAUCUCAUAAUUCCCUCUUCUGACAUCUCUGUUUUGACUCAUGGCACCAUUAUUCUCCCACUACACAAACUUGACACUUGGGGAUUGUGGUAGGCAGGCUAAUGGCCCCCAAAGAUGUCCACGUCCUAAUGCCCAGAACUAGCUAAUAUGUCACCUUCCAUGGCAAAAAGGAAUUAAGGUUGCAGACGGAAUGAAGGUUUCUAAUCGGCUGACCUUGAGAAGGGGAGACUCUCCCAGAUUUUCGGGGUGGGCCCACUGUAACCAUAAGUCCUUAUAAGUGGCAGAGGGAGGCAGAAAAGAGCCAGAAAGAUGGCAGCACGAGAAGGUCUUCGCCCAACAUUGCUGGCGUUGCGAACGGGAGGGGACCAUGAGCCAAGGAAUGCAGGCGGUCUCUAGAAGCUGAAAAAGGAAAAGGGGUGAAUCCUUCUCUGGAGCCUCCAGAAUAAUGCAGCCUUGACGGCACCUUGAUUUCCGCCCAGUGAAACCCAUUUUGGGCUUCUGGCCUCCAGAACUGUAGGAUAAUAAGUUUGUAUGGUUUCAAGCCGCUGAGUUGGUCACCAUUUGUUACCGCAGCCAUAGUACGGGGACCAUUUUGGACUUCCUCUCCCUUUCCUCCAUUUCUGCUCUUUGGAAAGUUGAUGGUUCUACCUUUUAAGGUUUUCUGCAAUCAUGCCUCUCCACUCACAGCCAUUACCCCACUUUAGAUCCUGGUUGACCAAAUUAAAUUCCACAAGGUUUUACUUUGUGCCAGAUUUUGAAGAAAAUAGAUAUAUUUUUAAAAACACAGUCCCUGCCCUAAGAAGCUAUUAUAAUACAGUGUGAAAAGCACUACAAUAAGCGGGGUUGAGGGGGUUGAAGGAGUGAAGUCGUAAGGAAAGCUUUCCAAAAGGAAAUGAAGUCUCAGGAGGUGAGGAGGGUGUGAUGUGGAGCAUUCUAGGCAAAGAGAAUAGUCUGUGCAAAGGUCCUGUGUUCACCAGCCCUCAAGAUGGCCCUUAACGACCGCUGACUCAUGCUAUUCACAUCUUUGCGUAAUCCCUUCCCACACUAAAUAAGGCUGACUUACAUAACAAAUACGAUACGAUGGAAAUGACCAAGUGUGACUUCUGAGGCAGCUUCCCAUAGGCUCUCCUGGAUCACUCAGACUAGGGGAAGUCAGCAGCCCUAUUGUGAGGAAACAUAGGAGCCUUAUGCAGCGGCUCACACAGCAAGGAGCUGAGGCCUCCAGCCAACAGCCCUGUGAGGGAGCCCCUGGGAGGUGACUCCUCCAGACCCAGUCAAGUCUUCAGAUGCCUGCACCCCCAGCUGACAUCAACCUCAGGGAGGACCCUGAGCCAGAACCCUGAGCUGCUCCCAGAUGUGUGACCCACAGAAUCUGUAAAAUAAUAAAUCUUUGUUGGUUUAAGCCACUAAGUUUUGGGGUGAUUUGUUA